This 375-nucleotide ribosomal RNA is filed under the name uncultured Glomeromycotina. RNAcentral's name for it is "eukaryotic LSU rRNA". The record is from RNAcentral. Lineage: Eukaryota; Fungi; Glomeromycota.
UUGAAAGGGAAACGAUUGAAGUCAGUCAUACCAACGGGAAAUCAACCUUUUGAGCUUGAUCUCGUGGGUUUUGAAGAGUUUCAAAGCCUUCGGAUUCGCGGGAUUGGGAUCUCUUGGUGUACUUUUUCGUACGGUUAGUCAACAUCGGUUUUGAAUGUCAUAAAAUGACUGGAGGAAUAUAGCUUCGAUCUCGUAUUGAAGUGUUAUAGCCUUUGGUAGAUGUGAUGUUUGAGACCGAGGAUUGCAACGGAUACCCUUCAGGGCUAUUCGUCUGAUCUCUGAUACGUUGCCUUGAUGUUGAAAGCUUGCUUAUGAUGUUAGGGUAUUACGGUCAAAAGGUUAGAACGAAUUACAUUCGUUAAGGAUGUUGACGUA